GAUGAACGCUCGCUACAGGCUUAACACAUGCAAGUCGAGGGGAAACGACAUCGAAAGCUUGCUUUUGAUGGGCGUCGACAGGCGCACGGGAGAGGAACGCGUAUCCAAUCUGCCCAUCACUUGGGAAUAACCUUGCGAAAGUAAGACUAAUACCCAAUGACAUCCCACGAAGACAUCUGAAUGGGACUAAAGAUCUAUCGGUGAUGGAUGGGGCUGCGUUUGAUUAGCUUGUUGGCAGGGUAACGGCACACCAAGGCAACGAUCAGUAGGGGAUCUGAGAGGAGGCUCCCCCACAUUGGAACCACGGCCCAGUCCAAACCGCGAGGGGAGACAACAGUAUGUAAUAUAAGGGAAUGAGGGAGAGCCUGAACCAGCCAAGUAGCUUGCAGGAGGACUGCCCUAGGGAUUGUAAACUGCUUUUAAAAGGGAUUAAAGUAAGUCUCGGGAGACUUUUUGAAGGUACCUAAUGAAUAAGGACCGGCUAAUUCCGUG
Molecule: ribosomal RNA, 492 nt
Filed under: uncultured bacterium
Lineage: Bacteria
Description: partial 16S ribosomal RNA
Rfam family: Bacterial small subunit ribosomal RNA
Source: RNAcentral